Molecule: ribosomal RNA, 157 nt
Filed under: Orbilia alnea
Lineage: Eukaryota; Fungi; Ascomycota; Orbiliomycetes; Orbiliales; Orbiliaceae
Also listed under: 1 other name
Description: 5.8S ribosomal RNA
Rfam family: 5.8S ribosomal RNA
About the family: 5.8S ribosomal RNA (5.8S rRNA) is a component of the large subunit of the eukaryotic ribosome. It is transcribed by RNA polymerase I as part of the 45S precursor that also contains 18S and 28S rRNA.
Source: RNAcentral
AAACUUUCAACAACGGAUCUCUUGGUUCUCGCAUCGAUGAAGAACGCAGCGAAACGCGAUAGUUAAUGUGAAUUGCAGAAUUCAGUGAAUCAUCGAGUCUUUGAACGCACAUUGCGCCCAUUGGUAUUCCGAUGGGCACGUCUGUUUGAGCGUCAUU